Molecule: long non-coding RNA, 1754 nt
Organism: Perca flavescens (yellow perch)
Lineage: Eukaryota; Metazoa; Chordata; Actinopteri; Perciformes; Percidae
Exons: 3
Source: RefSeq, a predicted model, not a curated record
CUCAUUCCUGUAGCGCUCUAUAAUGAAAGGUUUUAACAUCCGCAACUGAGCAAACUUCAUGUGUGUGGGGUUAAAAGCUUCAAAACAUGAGUCCUGGAUGUGUUGUUUCAUCCGCAGCGGCUGCAGCAGUCGGCAAACAAAGCACCAUCUGUUGCAGGGGCCGAGCCUCAGCGCAGCACCCACGGGCCUGACAGAGGUAGGGUACGGGAAUGCAGAGAGUGGGCUGGUCACACUGCUUGUGCCCUCAUGUCCAGAAGAGUCUUGGAUUUGUUCCUGGGGCUGGAAGUUUGAGGCUGAGCGCAGGGGAAACAAUAGCGGCCAUUGCAAGAGAGCUGUGGGACACAAACACGGGAGAUAUCCUUGAACCCCGGCAGGAAUGUCAAUCUAGACCAAAGACGCCCACUCAGAGAGGCAGCUGAAUAUAUCUGCUUCUGGAGAGAGGGAGAGAAAGAAAGCCUUCCUCUGUCCUAUCACAUGUGCAGAAACUGAACGUUUUGGCUUUUACAGUAAUUAGUUAAAACAUUUUGACUUCUGAAACCUCUGUGAGAAUAAGUUUGAUGCUGUCACAUUUUUAUCUACUGUACAGCGAGCAUUACAGGUCACUUGAGUUAAAAGUAGUCAGAUGAGUCUAGAUUGUUUCCCAAAGACACAAUCCAAUGGAACCUGGUGUUCAGUUGUAUUGUCUGAAGCCAUCUUGACUCCUAUUUUUUUUUAAAAUGACUUCUAUACAUCCAUCUGUCUGUCUUGUACUCAGAGUAACAGCUACCAAAAGCAGUGAAACCAUUUGUGAAAGUGUUAAAUGCGUCAAAUGUGUUCUUCAGUAAGAAUAUAUCAGUCUGACCCUGAAAGCUGCUGUUACACAACAGAGGAUUUGGUUUUUUUCAUUCACUGACGUUUUUAUGAAAGCUGUAAAGCCUUGACGUCUGCAGAUAUCCGACUGUAUUUACAUAAGUUGAUUGAAGUAUCAAAUAGCUUUGUUCUGCUUAUUUUUUCUCAAAUCCAGCAGGGAUGAUAACCGCUCAAGGUAAAAUAGGAAUACGUGAUUCUGUCUGUAAUCAGGGACCAAUAAUUGGCUUUGAGAGUGAAAAGCCUUUGCGUUGUUGUGUGUCUUUGUCACCCUGGGUGACCUCUUCAUGUCUUCAUGCUGCAGUCCCUGCCGCCUAUAACGCAGAUGACAACAUAGCUAUGAUGCUCAGCAGCUGAUGUAACCAUUCAGUGGAUGCUCGGGCCAAGAUAAGUCUCUACACUUUCUCCUUUUGAUGAAAACAUGUAAUUGUGUCUAACUUUACAUUUUGUAUUCGAUAAAUAACUAACCAUGGUCUUAAAAGCUAACAGAACUUGGCGUACUGCUGAUUUUCUGACACAUUUUAACGUUGCAUUGUCUCUGAAAAUUCCUAUUGUUUGAACUAAUAGGAUCAGCCGUAAGAUGUGAAUGGUUUAUUUUCCCACACUGCGUCCUCACAGUGCUCCUUUUGGCCGGUAAACAACUCAAUGCAAAUGUCUUGGUGGUCGAAAGCCAACAAUUUCAUCAACAUUUGGCAGGAGCUGCCGCCAGGGCUCGAGCAUAAUGCUAUCAUUUGUUUAGCAUCUCAACAAUAUCAUGCUCUCUUGUUUCAAACGGAGGCCCGGAGGAUAUUUUUGAGCCACUGCUUCUGUAAAUAAAGGAUUGACGCAACAGGAGACUUUUUCUGAUUUUACAGUAAAUGUCAGAAGAGAAAAGAAGCUACACACUGAUGAUCUUUAAUAAUUUUGCU